This 579-nucleotide ribosomal RNA is filed under the name uncultured bacterium. RNAcentral's name for it is "bacterial SSU rRNA". It matches the Rfam family "Bacterial small subunit ribosomal RNA", at positions 102 to 645 of the family's 1533-position model. The record is from RNAcentral.
ACGGGUGAGUAAUGCAUAGGUAACGUACCUUGUGAUUGGGGAUAGCGUCGGGCCCGCAAGGGUCCUUUGCGAAAGUGACGUUAAUACUCGAUGACGUCUUUGGGUCGCAUGGCCUGAAGACCAAAGGUGGGGACCGCAAGGCCUACCGGCACGAGAUCGGCCUAUGCCCUAUCAGCUAGUUGGUGAGGUAAUGGCUCACCAAGGCUUUGACGGGUAGCCGGCGUGAGAGCGCGACCGGCCACAUCGGGACUGAGACACUGCCCGGACACCUACGGGUGGCUGCAGCAACGAAUAUUCCGCAAUGGGCGCAAGCCUGACGGAGCGACGCCGCGUGGAGGAUGAAGUCCUUCGGGAUGUAAACUCCAAUAGUUUGUCAGGAAGUAACCCGGCCUAAUAUGCCGGGAAGUUGACCAGCAGACGAAAGGGGCGGCUAACUCCGUGCCAGCAGCCGCGGUAAGACGGAGGCCCCGAGCGUUGUUCGGAAUUAUUGGGCUUAAAGCGCGUGUAGGCGGGUCGGUAAGUGCUUUGUGAAAUCCCCGGGCUCAACCCGGGAAUUGCUUGGCAUACUGCCGGUCUUGA